AUUGAACGCUGGCGGCAUGCUUUACACAUGCAAGUCGAACGGCAGCACGGGGGCAACCCUGGUGGCGAGUGGCGAACGGGUGAGUAACGCAUCGGAACAUGCCCAGUAGUGGGGGAUAACGCGUCGAAAGAUGUGCUAAUACCGCAUACGCACUACGGUGGAAAGCGGGGGAUCGCAAGACCUCGCGCUAUUGGAGUGGCCGAUGUCCGAUUAGCUAGUUGGUGGGGUAAUGGCCUACCAAGGCGACGAUCGGUAGCUGGUCUGAGAGGAUGAUCAGCCACACUGGGACUGAGACACGGCCCAGACUCCUACGGGAGGCAGCAGUGGGGAAUUUUGGACAAUGGGCGCAAGCCUGAUCCAGCCAUGCCGCGUGAGUGAAGAAGGCCUUCGGGUUGUAAAGCUCUUUCGGCCGGAACGAAAUCGUCCGGGCUAAUACCCCGGAUGGAUGACGGUACCGGAAGAAGAAGCACCGGCUAACUACGUGC
This 485-nucleotide ribosomal RNA is filed under the name uncultured bacterium. RNAcentral describes it as "bacterial SSU rRNA". It matches the Rfam family "Bacterial small subunit ribosomal RNA", at positions 29 to 508 of the family's 1533-position model. The record is from RNAcentral.